GACCCUAUAGAGUUUAAUAUUUUAUUGAUAAAUUAUUUUUUAGAAUUUAAUAUUAAUUUAUUAAUUGAAUAUUUGAUUGGGGUGAUUGAAAAAUUUAAGUAACUUUUUUUAUAUUUAAACAUUAAUUUAUGAUUAUUUGAUCCAUUAUUUAUGAUUAUAAGAUUAAAUUACCUUAGGGAUAACAGCGUAAUUUUUUUUAAGAGUUCAAAUCGAAAAAAAAGAUUGCGACCUCGAUGUUGGAUUAAAAUUUAUUUUUGGUGUAGAAGCUAAAUUUAUUGGGUCUGUUCGACCUUUAAAAUUUUACAUGAUCUGA
RNAcentral lists this ribosomal RNA (313 nucleotides) under Pharaxonotha floridana. RNAcentral describes it as "partial 16S large subunit ribosomal RNA". The stretch from base 178 to 313 matches the Rfam family "Bacterial large subunit ribosomal RNA", at positions 2473 to 2608 of the family's 2925-position model. Lineage: Eukaryota; Metazoa; Arthropoda; Insecta; Coleoptera; Erotylidae. The record is from RNAcentral.